CGUUUCGCGCGCGUUCGGCGUUCGGUUUGCGCGGCAAGUGCGGCAUCUUUGUCGUGGCUUUCUAACGGUUAUUGAAAAUAUUGCGAUAUUGUAUUCAAGACAGUGCAUGUCUAGCUGGUCUAGCGUCAUAAUGGACCUUCAGACUUCUUUCUACGGGCGUCGCAUCCGCCCGAAGGACUUUGGUGCUGAAUGGGUCUCGACCUCCACACAAAUUCGUGGUAUUCAACCCUUUCCCGAGCCGGCAUCGAAGAUUCUGGUUAACUCCAGGAAUUUGCCGUCUUGUAGGGUGGUCUUGAACAGGUGGACACCGCCAAAACUUCAGGAUGCGGAAGCAAGUAGUGGUGCCAAAAAGCCGGCGGAGUCUCCUACCAAGGGCAUUAAACGAAAGUUCACCGUCCUCACUGAAAACGAUGAGCCAGAAAAUGAUGACAAGGGAAUGGCCUACCGCGCCAAAAUACAGAAGAACAUUGCCGAGAAAAUGGCCUUCCUGGAAUCUCUCGGGAUCGACAAGUUCGAGCUUCGUUCUCCGCCCAAGAGGCCAGCCACAAGAAAACCUGCCUCAGCAAAGCCCUUGCCGACUGAGCGGAGGAAGAGCCAACGGCUUCAGAACAAGGGCCCUGAGGUUCUGCCAAAGAAGGAAGAGGAGCAGGUGCCGGAGGUUGUGAAGCGAGAAGGUCCCUUCGACAUUGGUGCAGUUUUCGUGAGUGGAAGCCCAGACAGUGAAAAAUGCUUCCUCACUGAGCCUGCCAUGAGGGAAAUGCUGUCUGAGGUUUCGUUCCAGAACAAGCCGAGAGAUUCCCAAGGGUGCCUCGACGCGUUUACCCGACUGGCCAUAGACGACACGACGAUCAAGAAGGUCGUCCCUGCCCGCAUCACCGCUCUCGCCGUUCACCCGUCGUCUUCGGUGACCGUCGUCUUUGCGGGGGACAAGCUUGGAAACUUUGGCUACUUCAAGAUGGGCGAAGGGGAGAGCCUGGUGCAAAGCUACAGUCCCCACACGUCCGGUCUCAUGUGCCUCAAGGUCAACAAAAACCAGCCUCAGCGCGUCUUCUCCGCAAGCUACGACGACACCGUCCGCUGUCUCGACGUCGAACGCGGGAUUUUCGACGAGGUGUACCGUUCCCUAGAUGAGAAUGGAGUCUUGUGCCUGGACUGGGGACUGCACAAUUCUCUGAUCGUGGGCCACAGCGACGGCGCCGUGUCCUUGGUUGACCCCAGGACACGCGAGACAAGCUCGUGCACGCUGCACAGCAGGAAAGUCCGGACGGUGAAUGUUCAUCCGGUGCAUGAGUGGUGCUUCUUGACCGGCAGCACGGACGGGACGGCCAAACUGUGGGACGUGCGGAACCUCAAGGAGACUCGGAGCAAAAAGGCGGCAGAGGCCAUCGCCACCAUGGCUCAUCACCGCUCGUGCUCCGCGGCCUUUUUCUCGCCGCUUACGGGCAACCAGAUCCUCACCACUUCUUUCGACGACACCCUCAAGGUUUUCGACAGUUCUGAGCUGACAAGCGAGGUCAAGUUGAAGGUGUCGCUCAAGCACAACAACAUGACGGGGCGCUGGCUGACGCCGUUCAAGGCCGUCUGGAUGCCCGGAUGCGAGGACCUCUUCCUCGUCGGGAGCAUGGAGUACCCGCGCCGUGUGGAGGUGUUCUCGUCUGCUGGGACCCUGCAACACACGCUGAAGGGAGACAGCCUGACGUCCAUCUGUUCGCUCGUGGACGUUCAUCCCGACCGCUUCGUCGUCGCCGGCGGGAACUCAAGCGGAAGGGUGCACGUGUUCGUCGAAGCGUAGCAAGUUUCUCCUCGUUAUGCACAACGAAGUUUGCUUUGCAUUCCGGUUAGCGUUCCAAAGGCUCGUUCGCACAUUUGCGUCUGAGCAUGCUUGAGUACGUUGUGUUCGGUUGUAAUCGUUUGUGACGAAAGAUUUAACAGCGCCAUCUGUUAGAUGGCCCUGGAAACUUUUCGAUCAAUGUAUAAAGUUUCAUCAUUUUUUCCACAUCAUUCUCCUGCUGCGGGCUUGAAAUGAUUGUGACGACAUUAUAAGUGGCUGUUUCUCGUGUAUGGUGCAUGGAUUUUAUCCUGCAAAGCCCAUAGUCUAGUUAUAUCCUGUUCCAGGGCUACCCAAGUGAUGGCACCAGUUUGCCAGUGUGAUAUCUCAUUUUAAGAGAAUGCAACGCACUCGAAUACCAACAAACGCAAACGUGCAAAACAGCCUUAACUUUUCGUCAUUUUGUAUAGCCAUUUUAUGCAUAGACUUGUUGGUUUUACUUGGUUUGGAUUUGUGCCGUGCUCCUGAAGUGUCGAGAGGAUAGCUAUCUGAAGAAUUUUAAUGAGGGAUUUUAUGUAUAGCAGUUUCUUUUUUUUUACUCUUACAAUGGCAAGAUAGCUGUGUGUCGUUUUUUUUUUUUAACUUGCUUUUGUUUGCACUAAGGUUUCAAACUUGAAUACCGACAAACGCAAACGUGCGAAACAGCCUUAACUUUUCGUCAUUUUGUAUAGCCAUUUUAUGCAUAGACUUGUUGGUUUUACUUGGUUUGGAUUUGUGCCGUGCUCCUGAAGUGUCGAGAGGAUAGCUAUCUGAAGAAUUUUAAUGAGGGAUUUUAUGUAUAGCAGUUUCUUUUUUUUUUUACUCUUACAAUGGCAAGAUAGCUGUGUGUCGUUUUUUUUUUUUUUUAACUUGCUUUUGUUUGCACUAAGGUUUCAACCUUGAAUACCGACAAACGCAAACGUGCGAAACAGCCUUAACUUUUCGUCAUUUUGUAUAGCCAUUUUAUGCAUAGACUUGUUAGUUUUACUUGGUUUGGAUUUGUGCCGUGCUCCUGAAGUGUCGAGAGGAUAGCUAUCUGAAGAAUUUUAAUGAGGGAUUUUAUGUAUAGCAGUUUUUUUUUUUUUACUCUUACAAUGGCAAGAUAGCUGUGUGUCGUUUUUUUUUUUUUUUAACUUGCUUUUGUUUGCACUAAGGUUUCAACCUUGAAUACCGACAAACGCAAACGUGCGAAACAGCCUUAACUUUUCGUCAUUUUGUAUAGCCAUUUUAUGCAUAGACUUGUUGGUUUUACUUGGUUUGGAUUUGUGCCAUGCUCCUGAAGUUGCAAGAGGAUAGCUAUCUGAAGAAUUUUAAUGAGGGAUUUUAUGUAUAGCAGUUUCUUUUUUUUUACUCUUACAAUGGCAAGAUAGCUGUGUGUCUAUGUUUCUUUUUUUUAACUUGCUUUUGUUUGCACUAAGGUUGCAACCUUUUCAUGGUAGUGCUGUGAGUCUAUGAAACGUGUCUCUCUCUAGGUUUCGCUCCUUGAAGUAAUGCUUUCUGCAAUACAGCAUUUGCAAUUUCUUCAAUUAAACGAGUCAGUUACUACCAGCCCUGUCGAUCAGUAACCUUUGCAGUGGACCUAAUAAAUGGCCCGUCAGAUCCAGCCUUCACGUUUCAAAAACCUCGAGAUUUUGCCCUGGAUGGUUAUUUCGUGAAACUACCCAAAGUAUGUUUGAAAAGCGUGUUAAGCUGUUUUAUAGCUUUCCAAGUUUGUGAAGGCUCUUUUUGUGCAUAUGCAAGUGUCUUCCAGUGGUUCAUGUUUGUACAUGUGCUCCAGUAAAUACCGGCAGCAUUAUUGGGGA
This 3609-nucleotide unclassified non-coding RNA is filed under the name Ixodes scapularis (black-legged tick). Its description in RNAcentral is "wD repeat-containing protein 76, transcript variant X4". The record is from RNAcentral. Lineage: Eukaryota; Metazoa; Arthropoda; Arachnida; Ixodida; Ixodidae.